Molecule: long non-coding RNA, 265 nt
Organism: Anopheles merus
Lineage: Eukaryota; Metazoa; Arthropoda; Insecta; Diptera; Culicidae
Exons: 3
Source: RefSeq, a predicted model, not a curated record
GUUAACAAACACGGACAACCGCCCGUAAAGAUUGUGUGCAGAAUAAUCGUGAAAUUUUAUGUGAAAACUCGAGGAAAGGAAAAACAUCAUUUCAUCCCGAAAUUUGGCAACAUUCGUCCGAGUAUGGUUGAGCAGCUGUGUGUGUGUGUAUGCCGACGGAAUACGACUCCGUUUCUACAUCAAUCACUAAAGCCGGCUGUCAUCGUGAUCGGCACAUUCUCAACUGGACCAACACACCGGUCGUUCCCAAGUGCCACAAAUCCAC